CAGCCGCCGCGGUAAUACGAAGGGGGCUAGCGUUGCUCGGAAUGACUGGGCGUAAAGGGCGCGUAGGCGGCAUACACAGUCAGAUGUGAAAUUCCUGGGCUUAACCUGGGGGCUGCAUUUGAUACUGGAUCACUAGAGUGUGGUAGAGGAUAGUGGAAUUUCCGGUGUAGCAGUGAAAUGCGUAGAGAUCGGAAGGAACAUCUGUGGCGAAGGCGACUAUCUGGGCCAACACUGACACUGAGGCACGAAAGCGUGGGGAGCAAACAGGAUUAGAUACCCCGGUAGUCCCUGUCUCUUAUAC
Molecule: ribosomal RNA, 301 nt
Filed under: uncultured bacterium
Lineage: Bacteria
Description: partial 16S ribosomal RNA
Rfam family: Bacterial small subunit ribosomal RNA
Source: RNAcentral